RNAcentral lists this ribosomal RNA (492 nucleotides) under uncultured bacterium. RNAcentral's name for it is "partial 16S ribosomal RNA". It matches the Rfam family "Bacterial small subunit ribosomal RNA", at positions 29 to 507 of the family's 1533-position model. The record is from RNAcentral.
AGUGAACGCUGGCGGUAGGCCUAACACAUGCAAGUCGAACGGCAGCACAGUAAGAGCUUGCUCUUACGGGUGGCGAGUGGCGGACGGGUGAGGAAUACAUCGGAAUCUACUUUUUCGGGGGGGAUAACGUAGGGAAACUUACGCUAAUACCGCAUACGACCUACGGGUGAAAGCAGGGGAUCUUCGGACCUUGCGCGAUUGAAUGAGCCGAUGUCGGAUUGGCUAGUUGGCGGGGUAAAGGCCCACCAAGGCGACGAUCCGCAGCUGGUCUGAGAGGAUGAUCGGCCACACUAGAACUGAGACACGGACCAGACUCCUACGGGAGGCAGCAGUGGGGAAUAUGGGACAAUGGGCGCAAGCCUGAUCCAGCCAUACCGCGUGGGUGAAGAAGGCCUUCGGGUUGUAAAGCCCUUUUGUUGGGAAAGAAAAGCAGCAGGUUAAUACCCCGCUGUUCUGACGGUACCCAAAGAAUAAGCACCGGCUAACUUCGUG